UCUAAAGGAAAUGGAUAUAAAAAGGCUACAUGACUCUUUAAUUUCUCAUCCACAUCCAGGGUAUGAAAAAGAUCCCAUUUUGGAACUAAAGAAAGAGGAAUCAGGGGGAAAGUUUUGAAGAGAUCUGUCAUGGAGGUGCAAGUACCCACCACGUGUCUACGCAAACUUGGGGCCUACUGUGAGGACUUGAGCAGCAGCAUCAGUCACUCUGAAGCAAAGGGGAGACUGUGGCUGGAGGACCCUGGGCCUUUGUGCUCAGUGGGACCCCUGCCCCACAUACUAGAAGAUGAAGUUAAUGCACCCUACAUACCCCUGUCCUUCUUCUUAUGUUUCUAUAAGAUGAAAUCAAACACUACUGACUUCCAAACACUAUACCUCCUAAGCUAGAUCUCAGAGAGUACUGUACAUCACAAAUGGUAUCUUCAUUUUAGAUUUUUAGCCACCAUGUUGCUUAAACAUGGCCGCCAAAGCCACAACUUAACCACAACCUACUCAAUCUAUAUGUUUAGUCAUAAUUUCGUGCCUGAGUUCCAGGCUUAUAACUACAACUUCCUGUUGAAUGUCUUCACUGGAAUGUUCUACAAUCACCACAAACUCAGUAUAUUAACAGACGGAAGCUAUUUGCCCCAAUAGCCUCCCCCCAACAAUAACAAAUAUCUAUUUUCUAUAGAGCAAGAUUCAGCCAACAUUUUUCUGUAAAAUGCCAGGUAGUUAACUUUUGUAGGCCAUAUAGUCUUUGCCACAACUCCCUGACUCAACCAUUGUAGUGUGAAAGCAUCCAUAGACAAUGUGUAAAGGAAUGCGUUUGGCUGGAUUCCAAUAAAACUUUAUUGAAAAAAAAACCA
Molecule: long non-coding RNA, 845 nt
Filed under: Vulpes vulpes (red fox)
Lineage: Eukaryota; Metazoa; Chordata; Mammalia; Carnivora; Canidae
Description: lncRNA (ENSVVUG00000027410.1)
Source: RNAcentral